GUGGGGAAUCUUAGACAAUGGGGGAAACCCUGAGCUAGCCAUGCCGCGUGAGCGAUGAAGGCCUUAGGGUUGUAAAGCUCUUUCAGCUGGGAAGAUAAUGACGGUACCAGCAGAAGAAGCCCCGGCUAACUCCGUGCCAGCAGCCGCGGUAAUACGGAGGGGGCUAGCGUUGUUCGGAAUUACUGGGCGUAAAGCGCGCGUAGGCGGACCAGAAAGUUGGAGGUGAAAUCCCAGGGCUCAACCUUGGAACUGCCUUCAAAACUCCUGGUCUGGAGUUCGAGAGAGGUGAGUGGAAUUCCGAGUGUAGAGGUGAAAUUCGUAGAUAUUCGGAGGAACACCAGUGGCGAAGGCGGCUCACUGGCUCGAUACUGACGCUGAGGUGCGAAAGCGUGGGGAGCAAACAGGAUUAGAAACCCCGGUAGUCC
RNAcentral lists this ribosomal RNA (425 nucleotides) under uncultured bacterium. Its description in RNAcentral is "partial 16S ribosomal RNA". It matches the Rfam family "Bacterial small subunit ribosomal RNA", at positions 354 to 796 of the family's 1533-position model. The record is from RNAcentral.